RNAcentral lists this ribosomal RNA (510 nucleotides) under uncultured bacterium. RNAcentral's name for it is "bacterial SSU rRNA". It matches the Rfam family "Bacterial small subunit ribosomal RNA", at positions 15 to 518 of the family's 1533-position model. The record is from RNAcentral.
GAUCCUGGCUCAGGACGAACGCUGGCGGCGUGCUUAACACAUGCAAGUCGAACGAGGAUAUACUGGAUGAGAGCUUCGGCAGGAUUCCGGAAUAUUCGAGUGGCGGACGGGUGAGUAACGCGUGAGCAACCUGUCCCAGACAGGGGGAUAACACUUGGAAACAGGUGCUAAUACCGCAUAAGACCACGUCCUCACAUGGGGAUGAGGUAAAAGGAGCAAUCCGGUUUGGGGUGGGCUCGCGUCCGAUUAGAUAGUUGGUGAGGUAACGGCCCACCAAGUCGACGAUCGGUAGCCGACCUGAGAGGGUGAUCGGCCACAUUGGAACUGAGAGACGGUCCAAACUCCUACGGGAGGCAGCAGUGGGGAAUAUUGGGCAAUGGGCGAAAGCCCUGACCCAGCAACGCCGCGUGAGUGAAGAAGGCUUUCGGGUUGUAAAGCUCUGUUAUAGGGGACGAAGGAAGUGACGGUACCCUAUAAGGAAGCCCCGGCUAACUACGUGCCAGCCGCUGC